RNAcentral lists this ribosomal RNA (479 nucleotides) under uncultured bacterium. RNAcentral describes it as "bacterial SSU rRNA". It matches the Rfam family "Bacterial small subunit ribosomal RNA", at positions 38 to 512 of the family's 1533-position model. The record is from RNAcentral.
GGCGGCAUNCUUUACACAUGCAAGUCGAACGGUAACAGGGUGCUUGCACCGCUGACGAGUGGCGAACGGGUGAGUAAUGCGUCGGAACGUGCCGAGUAGUGGGGGAUAACGCAGCGAAAGUUGUGCUAAUACCGCAUACGUACUGAGGUAGAAAGUGGGGGACCUUCGGGCCUCACGCUAUUCGAGCGGCCGACGUCUGAUUAGCUAGUAGGUGAGGUAAAGGCUCACCUAGGCGACGAUCAGUAGCGGGUCUGAGAGGAUGAUCCGCCACACUGGGACUGAGACACGGCCCAGACUCCUACGGGAGGCAGCAGUGGGGAAUUUUGGACAAUGGGCGAAAGCCUGAUCCAGCCAUGCCGCGUGUCUGAAGAAGGCCUUCGGGUUGUAAAGGACUUUUGUCAGGGAGGAAAUCCCUAGUGCUAAUAACACUGGGGGAUGACAGUACCUGAAGAAUAAGCACCGGCUAACUACGUGCCAGC